Molecule: long non-coding RNA, 487 nt
Filed under: Castor canadensis (American beaver)
Lineage: Eukaryota; Metazoa; Chordata; Mammalia; Rodentia; Castoridae
Description: lncRNA (ENSCCNG00000010583.1)
Source: RNAcentral
AUGGCAGCGUUGAAAAGUGUAAGAAAAAAAAAAAGAAGAAGAAGAAGAAGAAGAAGAAGAAAGAAGAACAUCAACAGCAGAAAAGAAAGCCUAAACAGCCAAGAGAGAGCGGACUGAGAACUACUCACGGUACAGACAGCUGGUCGACCCCCGAUCGGGUAACUGGUCAACCCGCCGCAUGGAGAGACGGACGGACAACUGGUCGACCUUCGCCACCGGUGGCUGCCGGCGUCCGUCCUCUCCGGCGGGGACGGCGGCCCGGGGGGCGGACCCGGCGGGGGGGAGAGCGCGGCGACGGGUCCUGGCUCCUCGCCCCGGGAUUCGGCGAUCGCUGCUGCCGGGGCGGGGGACCCCCGGGCCACCUUCCCCGCCGGGGCCUUCCCAGCCGUCCCGGAGCCGGUCGCGGCGCACCGCCGCGGUGGAAGUGCGCCCGGCGGCGGCCGGUCGCGGCCGGGGGCGGUCCCCCCCGACCACCCCCGGCCCCGCC